RNAcentral lists this ribosomal RNA (250 nucleotides) under uncultured prokaryote. RNAcentral describes it as "partial 16S ribosomal RNA". It matches the Rfam family "Bacterial small subunit ribosomal RNA", at positions 524 to 774 of the family's 1533-position model. The record is from RNAcentral.
UACGUAGGUGGCAAGCGUUAUCCGGAUUUAUUGGGCGUAAAGGGUGCGCAGGCGGUCUGUUAAGUUUGAGGUGAAAGCGUUGGGCUCAACCCAAUCAAGCCUUGAAUACUGGCAGACUUGAGUGCAGAAGAGGGUAUUGGAAUUCCAUGUGUAGCGGUAAAAUGCAUAGAUAUAUGGAGGAACACCGGUGGCGAAGGCGGAUACCUGGUCUGUUACUGACGCUCAGGCACGAAAGCGUGGGGAGCAAAUA